UGGCCUUGACAUACUAAGAACUUUCCAGAGAUGGAUUGGUGCCUUCGGGAACUUAGAUACAGGUGCUGCAUGGCUGUCGUCAGCUCGUGUCGUGAGAUGUUGGGUUAAGUCCGCAACGAGCGCAACCCUUUUCCUUAUUUGCCAGCGGGUAAUGCCGGGAACUUUAAGGAUACUGCCAGUGACAAACUGGAGGAAGGCGGGGACGACGUCAAGUCAUCAUGGCCCUUACGGCCAGGGCUACACACGUGCUACAAUGGUCGGUACAAAGGGUUGCUACCUCGCGAGAGGAUGCUAAUCUCAAAAAGCCGAUCGUAGUCCGGAUCGCAGUCUGCAACUCGACUGCGUGAAGUCGGAGUCGCUAGUAAUCGCGGAUCAGAAUGCCGCGGUGAAUACGUUCCCGGGCCUUGUACACACCGCCCGUCACACCAUGGGAGUUUGUUGCACCAGAAGUAGGUAGUCUAACCGCAAGGAGGACGCUUACCACGGUGUGGCCGAUGACUGGGGGUGAAGUCGUAACAAGGUAGGCGUAGAUGA
Molecule: ribosomal RNA, 534 nt
Filed under: uncultured bacterium
Lineage: Bacteria
Description: bacterial SSU rRNA
Rfam family: Bacterial small subunit ribosomal RNA
Source: RNAcentral